This 158-nucleotide unclassified non-coding RNA is filed under the name uncultured Helotiales. RNAcentral's name for it is "sequence contains ITS1". Lineage: Eukaryota; Fungi; Ascomycota; Leotiomycetes; Helotiales. The record is from RNAcentral.
CAGAGUUCGUGCCCUCACGGGUAGAUCUCCCACCCUGUGUUAUUAUACCUUUGUUGCUUUGGCGGGCCGCCCUCGGCUACCGGCCCCGGCUGGUACGCGCCCGCCAGAGGACCCCAAACUCUGAAUUAAAGUAUUGUCUGAGUACUAUAUAAUAGUUA